GUGGCCAUAAGUUAAUGGUAGACUGUUCGUCUUCCAAACGAAGUGUGUCGAUUCGAUUUCGACUGGCCACA
Non-coding RNA from Neophaeococcomyces mojaviensis, 71 nucleotides. Lineage: Eukaryota; Fungi; Ascomycota; Eurotiomycetes; Chaetothyriales. The record is from the annotation of a GenBank genome assembly.